RNAcentral lists this long non-coding RNA (349 nucleotides) under Mytilus galloprovincialis (Mediterranean mussel). The record is from RNAcentral. Lineage: Eukaryota; Metazoa; Mollusca; Bivalvia; Mytilida; Mytilidae.
CAACAUCUGCUUAAUUCUCUUGCUUUCAUUUUCUUUAUUUGCGUAUAAUUCUUUUAUUAUCUUCUCUUUCACUUUGUCCAAAUGGUCAUUGAUUUUUUUCCGGAUCUGCUUAAUAUCACGUUCAAUCUUAACCCUCUGGUCCUGUAGACAUUUCAAAUUUUCAGUGCGGUCAUUUCGAAUUCUUUGUACAUUUUCCAACAUUUGGAUCAUCAUUUGCUCUACCUCUAACCACGCAUUCGAUGACUUUACAUUUUGAACGAUGUUAUCUAUUGCUGUCAAAUCAUUACAAUCAUUAUGUGUCUCUAUAACACUUCUUCUACAGCACGGGCAAUCAUGUUUCUUACGGAAU